This is a long non-coding RNA of Humulus lupulus (European hop), 237 nucleotides long. RefSeq lists it as uncharacterized. The transcript is spliced from 2 exons. NCBI's taxonomy places the organism in Eukaryota, Viridiplantae, Streptophyta, Magnoliopsida, Rosales, Cannabaceae. The record is from RefSeq and is a predicted model, not a curated record.
CAGCCCUUGUGAUACCAAAAGCUAUUUCAAAUGCUGGUUUAGAUGCUUCUCAGAUUGAUUACUAUGAAAUAAAUGAAGCAUUUUCUGUUGUAGCUCUAGCCAAUCAAAAGAUGCUUGGUCUUAAUCUUGUGAGUUUGGAGAAAACUAGAUAAUUUCGUUCAAGUUGAUUUACUUUAUAUGCUUACAGGUGGAAACUAGCUUAAGUCUUGUGUUCUUAAUAAUAAAAGGACUUUUUUU